Molecule: ribosomal RNA, 707 nt
Filed under: Limosilactobacillus oris
Lineage: Bacteria; Bacillati; Bacillota; Bacilli; Lactobacillales; Lactobacillaceae
Description: bacterial SSU rRNA
Rfam family: Bacterial small subunit ribosomal RNA
Source: RNAcentral
CACCGCGUGAGUGAGGAAGGGUUUCGGCUCGUAAAACUCUGUUGUUGGAGAAGAACGUGCGUAAGAGUAACUGUUUACGCAGUGACGGUAUCCAACCAGAAAGUCACGGCUAACUACGUGCCAGCAGCCGCGGUAAUACGUAGGUGGCAAGCGUUAUCCGGAUUUAUUGGGCGUAAAGCGAGCGCAGGCGGUUGCUUAGGUCUGAUGUGAAAGCCUUCGGCUUAACCGAAGAAGUGCAUCGGAAACCGGGCGACUUGAGUGCUGAAGAGGACAGUGGAACUCCAUGUGUAGCGGUGGAAUGCGUAGAUAUAUGGAAGAACACCAGUGGCGAAGGCGGCUGUCUGGUCUGCAACUGACGCUGAGGCUCGAAAGCAUGGGUAGCGAACAGGAUUAGAUACCCUGGUAGUCCAUGCCGUAAACGAUGAGUGCUAGGUGUUGGAGGGUUUCCGCCCUUCAGUGCCGAAGCUAACGCAUUAAGCACUCCGCCUGGGGAGUACGACCGCAAGGUUGAAACUCAAAGGAAUUGACGGGGGCCCGCACAAGCGGUGGAGCAUGUGGUUUAAUUCGAAGCUACGCGAAGAACCUUACCAGGUCUUGACAUCUUGCGCCAACCUCAGAGAUGAGGCGUUCCCUUCGGGGACGCAAAGACAGGUGGUGCAUGGUCGUCGUCAGCUCGUGUCGUGAGAUGUUGGGUUAAGUCCGCAAGA